AACGAACGCUGGCGGCAUGCCUAACACAUGCAAGUCGAACGAGACCUUCGGGUCUAGUGGCGCACGGGUGCGUAACGCGUGGGAACCUGCCCUUAGGUUCGGAAUAACUCCCCGAAAGGGGUGCUAAUACCGGAUAAUGUCUUCGGACCAAAGAUUUAUCGCCUUUGGAUGGGCCCGCGUUGGAUUAGCUAGUUGGUAGGGUAAAAGCCUACCAAGGCGACGAUCCAUAGCUGGUCUGAGAGGAUGAUCAGCCACACUGGGACUGAGACACGGCCCAGACUCCUACGGGAGGCAGCAGUGGGGAAUAUUGGGCAAUGGGCGAAAGCCUGAUCCAGCAAUGCCGCGUGAGUGAUGAAGGCCUUAGGGUUGCAAAGCUCUUUUACCCGGGAUGAUAAUGACAGUACCGGGAGAAUAAGCUCCGGCUAACUCCGUG
This 433-nucleotide ribosomal RNA is filed under the name uncultured bacterium. RNAcentral's name for it is "partial 16S ribosomal RNA". It matches the Rfam family "Bacterial small subunit ribosomal RNA", at positions 29 to 507 of the family's 1533-position model. The record is from RNAcentral.